RNAcentral lists this ribosomal RNA (495 nucleotides) under uncultured bacterium. RNAcentral's name for it is "partial 16S ribosomal RNA". It matches the Rfam family "Bacterial small subunit ribosomal RNA", at positions 28 to 507 of the family's 1533-position model. The record is from RNAcentral.
GACGAACGCUGGCGGCGUGCCUAAUACAUGCAAGUAGAACGCUGAAGGAGGAGCUUGCUUCUCCGGAUGAGUUGCGAACGGGUGAGUAACGCGUAGGUAACCUGCCUGGUAGCGGGGGAUAACUAUUGGAAACGAUAGCUAAUACCGCAUAACAGUAGAUGUUGCAUGACAUUUGCUUAAAAGGUGCAAUUGCAUCACUACCAGAUGGACCUGCGUUGUAUUAGCUAGUUGGUGAGGUAACGGCUCACCAAGGCGACGAUACAUAGCCGACCUGAGAGGGUGAUCGGCCACACUGGGACUGAGACACGGCCCAGACUCCUACGGGAGGCAGCAGUAGGGAAUCUUCGGCAAUGGACGGAAGUCUGAACGAGCAACGCCGCGGGAGGGAAGAAGGUUUUCGGAUCGGAAAGCUCUGUUGUAAGAGAAGAACGAGUGUGAGAGUGGAAAGUUCACACUGUGACGGUAUCUUACCAGAAAGGGACGGCUAACUACGUG